AUACGUGUGGGGCAAGCGUUGUUCGGAAUUACUGGGCUUAAAGGGUACGUAGGUGGUCUUAUAAGUCAGGGGUGAAAGUCGGUGGCCUAACCAUCGAAUUGCCUUUGAUACUGUGAGACUUGAGUAUGCUAGGGGAGAGCGGAACGUGUAGUGUAGCGGUGAAAUACGUAGAUAUUACACGGAAGGCCGGAGCCGAAGGGGGCUCUCUGGGGCAUAACUGACACUGAGGUACGAAAGCGUGGGGAGCGAACGGGAUUAGAAACCCCAGUAGUCC
This 274-nucleotide ribosomal RNA is filed under the name uncultured bacterium. RNAcentral describes it as "partial 16S ribosomal RNA". It matches the Rfam family "Bacterial small subunit ribosomal RNA", at positions 523 to 796 of the family's 1533-position model. The record is from RNAcentral.